This 526-nucleotide ribosomal RNA is filed under the name Heterololigo bleekeri (Bleeker's squid). RNAcentral describes it as "partial 16S ribosomal RNA". It matches the Rfam family "Bacterial large subunit ribosomal RNA", at positions 1815 to 2598 of the family's 2925-position model. Lineage: Eukaryota; Metazoa; Mollusca; Cephalopoda; Myopsida; Loliginidae. The record is from RNAcentral.
AUCUCUCUUUGUAAUUUAUAUAUAAGGAGUUGGGCCUGCUCGGUGAAAAUUUUAACAGCUGCGGUAUUUUAACUGUACUAAGGUAGCAUAAUAAUUUGCCUUAUAAUUUGAGGCUAGAAUGAAUGGUUUGACGAAGGUUAAUCUGUCUCUAUUUUAUUUCUUAGAAAUUAAUUUUCAUAGUGAAAAAGCUUGAAUUCUUUAAAGGGACGAGAAGACCCUACUGAGCUUAUAAUUUUACUAUUAUUAUAACUAUGUAUUGUUAUAGUAAUAUAUAAAUUUUAAUUGGGGUGAUUAAGGAAUAAAGUAUAUUAGUUAGUAACUUCCUUAGUAGGAUAUAUUGUUGAAUAAAGUAACCGAUAUUACGUAUAGAACCGUAUAUUGCUUAUAAUAUAGUUACCAUAGGGAUAACAGCGUAAUUUAUUUAGAGAGUUCUUAUUGAAAAAUAAGAUUGCGACCUCGAUGUUGGAUUAAAGUAACCUUAAGGUGCAGAAGCUUUAAUAGGUAAUCUGUUCGAUUUUAAACUUUA